This 72-nucleotide transfer RNA is filed under the name Pangasianodon hypophthalmus (striped catfish). RNAcentral's name for it is "tRNA-Glu". Lineage: Eukaryota; Metazoa; Chordata; Actinopteri; Siluriformes; Pangasiidae. The record is from RNAcentral.
CCCCUGGAGGACUAGUGGUUAGGCCUCUGCGCUCUCACUGAUGUCAUCUGGGUUAGAUUCCCAGCCAGGGUA